This 257-nucleotide ribosomal RNA is filed under the name uncultured bacterium. Its description in RNAcentral is "partial 16S ribosomal RNA". It matches the Rfam family "Bacterial small subunit ribosomal RNA", at positions 793 to 1055 of the family's 1533-position model. The record is from RNAcentral.
GUCCACACGGUAAACGAUGGAUACUCGCUGUUGGCGAUAUACUGUCAGCGGCUUAGCGAAAGCGUUAAGUAUCCCACCUGGGGAGUACGCCGGCAACGGUGAAACUCAAAGGAAUUGACGGGGGCCCGCACAAGCGGAGGAACAUGUGGUUUAAUUCGAUGAUACGCGAGGAACCUUACCCGGGCUUAAAUUGCAAAGGAAUAAUCUGGAAACAGAUUAGUCUUCGGACCUUUGUGAAGGUGCUGCAUGGUUGUCGU